Molecule: ribosomal RNA, 835 nt
Filed under: Remototrachyna pandani
Lineage: Eukaryota; Fungi; Ascomycota; Lecanoromycetes; Lecanorales; Parmeliaceae
Description: SSU rRNA
Rfam family: Bacterial small subunit ribosomal RNA
Source: RNAcentral
UUGCUACUUACAUCAUUGAUGUAAGAUCAACUAUGUUGAAUAAAGUUCUGGGUAGAAUUAGAUAAUGACAUUUUCUGCCCAUGUGUCUUGACCAAUUACGUGCCAGCUGUCGCGGUAAUACGUAUAAGGCUAGCGUUAUUCAUGUUUAAUCGGUUUAAAGGGUACCUAGACGGCAAAUCAAGCUUAUGAAGAAAGGACUAAUUUGCUUGAGUUACAUCUGAGGGGGCUAUAAAGUACUGCUGGUGUAGGGAUGAAAUUCUAUGAUACCUUAUUUCGAAAGAAAAGUUAUGGCACAGGUAUAGGCGAAGGCAUCCCCUUAUAUGAUAACUGACGUUGAGGGACGAAGGCUCUGGACCACGAACAGGAUUAGAGACCCUGGUAGUUGGAGCAGUAAACGAUGAAUGUCAUAGAUUAGAUAUAUAAGUUUAUUCUAUAAAUGAAAGUGUAAGCAUUCCACCUCAAGAGUAAUAUGGCAACAUUGGAACUGAAAUCAUUAGACCGUUUCUGAAAUUAGUAGUGAAGUAUGUUGUUUAAUUUGAUAGUCCGCAAAAAACCUUACCACAAUUUGAAUAUUUAGAUUGUUUAUUGUUAUCUCAUUAGUUUCCUUUUUAUUUAUAAUAAUGGAGUAGACAAGCAAAAACACUGAUUAAUUAUACAAAUUUAGAAACUCCUUAUUGAUGAAUAAAGAAUAAAAUUAAUGUUGAGGCAAUAACAUAUACUUACAAGCGUUGCACGGCUGUCGUCAGUUGAUGUCGCGAGACUGUGGUUUACUCCACCAAUUAACGUAAACCCUUGCUUUAUUUUUAGAUAAAGUAGAUAAUCACCGAUAUGGGGA